Canis lupus familiaris (dog) is the source of this 1093-nucleotide long non-coding RNA. RefSeq lists it as uncharacterized. The transcript is spliced from 5 exons. NCBI's taxonomy places the organism in Eukaryota, Metazoa, Chordata, Mammalia, Carnivora, Canidae. The record is from RefSeq and is a predicted model, not a curated record.
GCAGGUAGACAGGUUAGCCUAGAUUAUGACUCUCACAUGCAGUAUGGUCAGUAGGGAAGCAAAUUGUCCUGUUUGUGGCACCCAGGGCCAUUCUGGUUUUAGUGUUGACAGUCCAGCAUCCUAGGAAAAUCUUCAUCUCAGGAAAACCAGGGCAACUGGUCACCCUAGCAAUCAGCCAAAGUGAAAUAAAGAAUGUCUACAAGCUGAGGUCGACCACAGCUUGAAAAUAUUCACAGAAGUCCUGGAGCCUGCUUUCUUCCAGCCGACUGACUACUUAGUGAAGCAUUCCUUGCUUAGCUGCUUCAAUCUUCCCUCUUUUCAUCAUUUUAGCUGAUCUCUUCUGAACCUCUGCCAAUUUAUCUGCAUCUUCUUGAUACCAUGGCACUCUGGAUUGAACACCAAGCGCAUUUAUGUAGGCUUUCACCUCCUCGUCUCAUUAUAUGCCCCAGGCAGCAAAUGCAGCAAAACCAUGGAAUGUUCCAUGUACUCCAGAAAUUAGAAGUUCCUUCAAUGCAUGAGAUGCCAUAAAAUUAAAAGUGAAUUGAAGACCUAUUAUUCUUGGUUAGCCAGCUAAUGGUAAAAAUGAGGCCUUCAACCUCAUAUGCAUCAGUGACUCCUACCCGGUACCUGAACCAGAGCGAUGCCUCUCCCAGCACAGCGCUGGAGAGGGAAGCAGGUUUCCUGAGAGGUCCCAUGUCUCCAUUCAAGCCUGCCCAGCUCCCACCGACCAACCCUCUACUCCUGUACAAAGGCCUUGGCCUCAUCAUCAUCACUGGGAGUCCAAACAGACGGCUGAUGCAAGUAGGUGUUCUCAUGCAGCCUAAUUGGGAUGCUGUUGGAGCAGCAGUGAGCCUCUAAUUUGUGAACAACCACAGAGCAAAAAUGAGUGCCAAGAGAUGUGAUUGCAGGACCCUCUCACCCACAAGCACAAGGAUGGCUGGACCAAGAGGUUCGCUGCAGCAGUGUUUGUCCAUCCAAAAACCUCCAGGCCCAAUCUAAACACCAAAACUUCAGUAGAGGAAUAGAUAAAUAAAAUGUGAUACAGCCGUCAGAUAGAAUUCCCUACAGCAAUGGAAAGACGUUAUUAAUUAGA